AUUGAACGCUGGCGGCAUGCUUUACACAUGCAAGUCGAACGGCAGCGCGGGCUUCGGCCUGGCGGCGAGUGGCGAACGGGUGAGUAAUGCAUCGGAACGUGCCCAGUAGUGGGGGAUAGCCCGGCGAAAGCCGGAUUAAUACCGCAUACGACCUGAGGGUGAAAGCGGGGGACCGAAAGGCCUCGCGCUAUUGGAGCGGCCGAUGUCGGAUUAGCUAGUUGGUGGGGUAAAGGCUUACCAAGGCGACGAUCCGUAGCUGGUCUGAGAGGACGACCAGCCACACUGGGACUGAGACACGGCCCAGAAUCCUACGGGAGGCAGCAGUGGGGAAUUUUGGACAAUGGGGGCAACCCUGAUCCAGCCAUGCCGCGUGCGGGAAGAAGGCCUUCGGGUUGUAAACCGCUUUUGUUCGGGAAGAAAUCCUCUGGGAUAAUACCCCGGGGGGAUGACGGUACCGGAAGAAUAAGCACCGGCUAACUACGU
RNAcentral lists this ribosomal RNA (483 nucleotides) under uncultured bacterium. Its description in RNAcentral is "partial 16S ribosomal RNA". It matches the Rfam family "Bacterial small subunit ribosomal RNA", at positions 29 to 506 of the family's 1533-position model. The record is from RNAcentral.